GGGGGUGUACUGGUUUCGACGGGGAUUUAGAAGUUAGGUAAGCCAUUCGCAGUUUCUGGGGCUGCGUCACCAACCUGGAACAAAAUUUAAACGCAAACAAUAAUAAAUUAGCUUUCGCUGCCUAAUGGCAGCCGUCUAACCUUAGCCACUCGAGACUAAGCAAUUAGGCGUAACCUAAGUCGAGGCACUUUUCUGUCAAAGCUUUGAGAUAGAAGAAGAAUUCAUGAAGCUACUGAAGGU
This 240-nucleotide transfer-messenger RNA is filed under the name Vallitaleaceae bacterium. It matches the Rfam family "transfer-messenger RNA", at positions 1 to 260 of the family's 374-position model. From Rfam's summary of the family: Bacterial tmRNA, also known as 10Sa RNA or SsrA, is named for its dual tRNA and mRNA-like properties. Lineage: Bacteria; Bacillati; Bacillota; Clostridia; Lachnospirales; Vallitaleaceae. The record is from Rfam by way of RNAcentral.